Molecule: ribosomal RNA, 253 nt
Filed under: uncultured bacterium
Lineage: Bacteria
Description: partial 16S ribosomal RNA
Rfam family: Bacterial small subunit ribosomal RNA
Source: RNAcentral
UACGUAGGGGGCAAGCGUUGUCCGGAAUCAUUGGGCGUAAAGAGCGUGUAGGCGGCCAAGCAAGUCGGAUGUGAAAGCCCUCGGCUCAACCGGGGAAGUGCACUCGAAACUGCAUGGCUAGAGUCUCGGAGAGGAUCGUGGAAUUCUCGGUGUAGAGGUGAAAUUCGUAGAUAUCGAGAGGAACACCGGUGGCGAAGGCGGCGAUCUGGACGAUGACUGACGCUGAAACGCGAAAGCGUGGGGAGCAAACAGG